RNAcentral lists this ribosomal RNA (297 nucleotides) under uncultured Bacillus sp. RNAcentral's name for it is "partial 16S ribosomal RNA". It matches the Rfam family "Bacterial small subunit ribosomal RNA", at positions 94 to 384 of the family's 1533-position model. The record is from RNAcentral. Lineage: Bacteria; Bacillati; Bacillota; Bacilli; Caryophanales; Bacillaceae.
AGCGGCGGACGGGUGAGUAACACGUAGGUAACCUGCCUAUAAGACUGGGAUAACUCCGGGAAACCGGGGCUAAUACCGGAUAACAUUUUGCACCGCAUGGUGCGGAAUUGAAAGGCGGCUUCGGCUGUCACUUAUAGAUGGACCUGCGGCGCAUUAGCUAGUUGGUGAGGUAACGGCUCACCAAGGCGACGAUGCGUAGCCGACCUGAGAGGGUGAUCGGCCACACUGGGACUGAGACACGGCCCAGACUCCUACGGGAGGCAGCAGUAGGGAAUCUUCCGCAAUGGACGAAAGUCU